This 1520-nucleotide ribosomal RNA is filed under the name Klebsiella pneumoniae. RNAcentral describes it as "bacterial SSU rRNA". It matches the Rfam family "Bacterial small subunit ribosomal RNA". The record is from RNAcentral. Lineage: Bacteria; Pseudomonadati; Pseudomonadota; Gammaproteobacteria; Enterobacterales; Enterobacteriaceae.
AGAGUUUGAUCAUGGCUCAGAUUGAACGCUGGCGGCAGGCCUAACACAUGCAAGUCGAGCGGUAGCACAGAGAGCUUGCUCUCGGGUGACGAGCGGCGGACGGGUGAGUAAUGUCUGGGAAACUGCCUGAUGGAGGGGGAUAACUACUGGAAACGGUAGCUAAUACCGCAUAACGUCGCAAGACCAAAGUGGGGGACCUUCGGGCCUCAUGCCAUCAGAUGUGCCCAGAUGGGAUUAGCUAGUAGGUGGGGUAACGGCUCACCUAGGCGACGAUCCCUAGCUGGUCUGAGAGGAUGACCAGCCACACUGGAACUGAGACACGGUCCAGACUCCUACGGGAGGCAGCAGUGGGGAAUAUUGCACAAUGGGCGCAAGCCUGAUGCAGCCAUGCCGCGUGUGUGAAGAAGGCCUUCGGGUUGUAAAGCACUUUCAGCGGGGAGGAAGGCGUUAAGGUUAAUAACCUUAGCGAUUGACGUUACCCGCAGAAGAAGCACCGGCUAACUCCGUGCCAGCAGCCGCGGUAAUACGGAGGGUGCAAGCGUUAAUCGGAAUUACUGGGCGUAAAGCGCACGCAGGCGGUCUGUCAAGUCGGAUGUGAAAUCCCCGGGCUCAACCUGGGAACUGCAUUCGAAACUGGCAGGCUAGAGUCUUGUAGAGGGGGGUAGAAUUCCAGGUGUAGCGGUGAAAUGCGUAGAGAUCUGGAGGAAUACCGGUGGCGAAGGCGGCCCCCUGGACAAAGACUGACGCUCAGGUGCGAAAGCGUGGGGAGCAAACAGGAUUAGAUACCCUGGUAGUCCACGCCGUAAACGAUGUCGAUUUGGAGGUUGUGCCCUUGAGGCGUGGCUUCCGGAGCUAACGCGUUAAAUCGACCGCCUGGGGAGUACGGCCGCAAGGUUAAAACUCAAAUGAAUUGACGGGGGCCCGCACAAGCGGUGGAGCAUGUGGUUUAAUUCGAUGCAACGCGAAGAACCUUACCUGGUCUUGACAUCCACAGAACUUUCCAGAGAUGGAUUGGUGCCUUCGGGAACUGUGAGACAGGUGCUGCAUGGCUGUCGUCAGCUCGUGUUGUGAAAUGUUGGGUUAAGUCCCGCAACGAGCGCAACCCUUAUCCUUUGUUGCCAGCGGUUCGGCCGGGAACUCAAAGGAGACUGCCAGUGAUAAACUGGAGGAAGGUGGGGAUGACGUCAAGUCAUCAUGGCCCUUACGACCAGGGCUACACACGUGCUACAAUGGCAUAUACAAAGAGAAGCGACCUCGCGAGAGCAAGCGGACCUCAUAAAGUAUGUCGUAGUCCGGAUUGGAGUCUGCAACUCGACUCCAUGAAGUCGGAAUCGCUAGUAAUCGUAGAUCAGAAUGCUACGGUGAAUACGUUCCCGGGCCUUGUACACACCGCCCGUCACACCAUGGGAGUGGGUUGCAAAAGAAGUAGGUAGCUUAACCUUCGGGAGGGCGCUUACCACUUUGUGAUUCAUGACUGGGGUGAAGUCGUAACAAGGUAACCGUAGGGGAACCUGCGGUUG